Molecule: non-coding RNA, 171 nt
Organism: Microvirga lotononidis
Lineage: Bacteria; Pseudomonadati; Pseudomonadota; Alphaproteobacteria; Hyphomicrobiales; Methylobacteriaceae
Source: Rfam
GUCGUCGUGAGGCGGGGUCUGAAGGAAGCAUGGAGCAAAACCGCGACCUGAUGAACAAGAACCGGAUAUGAGGCCACCCAGGUCGGACGAGCGGGCCAAUGACCGCGAAGUCCACAGUCAUCAAAGACCGGGACGGUAAAUUCGGCAGGUGUGCGGGGAAGGCGGUCGAAC